AGCUUCUAUAGGUACAUGCCGAAAACCCAGUGGAUUCCCGUAACACUUCUAGUCAAGAUUAAUCAUCAACGGAGAGAUAAGAGUCUAGCAGACCUGGGACUGCUUUGGAGGAAGACCCAGUCAAGGUAGUUUAUCGUUAGAAUAUCAACACUCAGCUCCACUGUCCCCAUGUGAAGAGAGAAAGAUGAGAUGUGUCAGUGGCCAAACUGAGAGCGCUGUUCAUUUAUAUUUAAUGGAGCCCCUCUGUGGUGGUGGCCACAAACACUUCCUGCUGCAGUUAUGCAGGCCAGAUUAUGAAAAAGAGGUUUAACAUUGGCUUCUUUAGAGCUUAUUGGCCGUCAGUGCGCCUCCAAAGGGCCACAGAACCACGAUAAGUGUGGUAACUGUCAAACCAAAAAGGCUCACGUCUGUGAACUAAGCGACAAGUCUGGAAAGAAACUGGACACACAGUCCUCUGUCAUCUGUUCCAGAGAGCUGCUCUUGCUGCCCACUCACUGUAGACAAAGCAGCUUCUGUGUUUGAUUGAAAAUGAAGGAGACCAUUGCAGCUCUGUUAAAGACUCAGAACAUCUGAGUCAGUCAGUUCAGCACAGCUCAAUUUUAUACAUUCCAACUUUAAUUAUGCGUCUGUCAUGCUGACACACACAUCCACAUAUAUCAGGGAUUUCCCUGGGUCAAAAAUGGUCUGAGUAUAUAUUAGUGCUGUCAAUUGAUAAAACUAAUUAAUCGCACAUAUUUCAGUAAUUAAUCAUGAUUAAUCGCACCUUUACUUAAUACAAUUUUCUGUAAUAAUUUCACAUUUAAUCAAAAUCCCUGAUGUUGAAACAACAUAAAGGCAGUAUUUUAUCAAGAUUUGUUUAAUGGCAUGUUUUUAAUGAAUUAAGGCCAGUAUCACUGAUACUGCUUCUGAUUGUCUCUGAAAUUGAUUUUUUUAUUCUUCUCAAUUUUAGCUAUUAAUUAUAGCCAUUCAGCAUUAUAGUAUAAUUGAAAGCCAUCAAUUUUAACAUUCAGUAGGCUUUAAAAAUAUAACUUUAUUUAAAUGAAUUUAAAACAAUCUUCACAUAAACACCUUAUAAUAAAUGUCACAUUAUUAUAUGUGGGCUCAACACAAAGUAUUUUUUUUCUACAGAUUUUUACUUUCUUUGCUAAAAUGCACAAAAAAGUUAUUUUCAUUUUUGUGACCCAUGUAACCUUAUAAACGGAGGUUUUUAUUUUAGGUAGGUUUUUUUUAGGUAGCUCUAACAGGUAGGGAAUAUACAGAAAUUAUUUAAACGUUAUCAAACACUUCACAGUCUUCACUGCAUAAAUUAUAAAUUAUACAUAGAUUAAUCUUUAUUAAAGCUACAAAAUUUAUUCAGUCAAGAAGAGUGAGUGAUUUUCUUUUAUCUUUUGUUCUUUGAUUAACAUUAAUGACAGACAGCUGCAGGUUUGUUAGGCUGCUGUCACUUUAAGACCCGUGACACAUGAUGUGUAUCUGACACACAUUUUCUCACAACUCUUUAAAUUAAUUUAAGACUAUAACUCAUUUAAUAAUGUGCUUACGAGGAUACUCAACAAAACAGGCAUUACAUGGCUUGGGACUCAUUCACACCUACGGAUAAUUUAGCAUCUUCAAUUCACCUAUACUGCAUGUUUUUGGAUUGUGUUGGAAACCCAUGCAGACACGGGGAGAACAUACAAACUCCACACAGAAAGGACACCUGGCUCAGCUGGGACUCGAACCGGGGACCUUCUUGCUGUGAGGCAACAGUGCUACCUUCUGAGCCACUGUGACCCCAAAAGGCUGAAUCACCUAAAUUCACAAACCAUGAAGAAUGACAUGCGAUAUUAUUUGCAUGUAAAUGACAGUGCAUGGCCAAUUUAUAGCCAAAUCUGAAUAUCAAUAUGUUUCAACAUUGGAUUCAUAAAAACAAAAAAACUUGUCGUUGCACAUUGCAGCUUUAAUAAUUGCAGCUAUUGAUUUGAAAAGCUCCACAUCUUAUUAAACAAAUGUAUAACAGCUGUGAGUGAAAGCCUGUAUCAGUUGUUUUAUGUCCACUGAAUAUGUUUACAUAUUUAUCAUUUCUCUUCCUCACAGCUUCUGAAUAGAGAUUUUAAUUAUGCGUGGAACUUUGCUUGCAAUGUGUUUGACAACCUCAGAUUCACCUCAGAGUAAUUGUAUUCGGACCGUUUCAGAACUACGUAAACUCCAGUGACCUUUUAAGAAGGUAAUCACAGUUUCAGCAUUUCAUCAAAGUUAUUGAGUGUUCAAGCGCUAUUGUUCGAGUCUAUCAGUUUGGAGCUGUAAUGCUUCCAGUUCUAAUAAAUUUCUUAGAGCAGUUGAAAGAGAGAAAGGGAGGGGGAAAAUGGGCUUAUAAAUGAAUAAACCGUCUGCAACAGAUUAAUGUGGUAAUAAAAUAUGGGGUGUCUCAUCUUUACAGAGAAAUCCGAACAUUAGAUUCAGUUAGAUUCAUUAGAUUCAGAGCCAUUGUGUGCGCUCUCGCUGAGAUUAAACUUCUCUGUAAAAAAACAAAACAAAAAAAACUCCUGUAAUCCUCUGCAGAUGGAGAUGAGGUCUCUUUGACCUGGUCACUGUCAACAGUCUAGUCUAAUGGAGGCUGAUGUUGAUUCGAAACCAUAGACCAGUGGUUCUUAAACUUUUUAGAGUGGUGUAGCCCCAGAGGCAUUUAAUAUCUUUCUGCGUACCCUCUCUAUUUCACUUAGACUGCAGUCAUACAUUUUGCAUUAAGGGACAAUAUUUGUAUGAUUCGUAGCGCAAUAUCUAAGGCUGCAUACUCUGCAUGCAAAUUAUCAGAUGCAAUGUGGAUGCAGUCAGUUGUGACCACAAAAGAUGAGGUCAUUUAAUUGGAUGUAUUUGACCUUUUACAGCACUAACAUUUUCAUGUUUCAUGUUACCGUCUGGUUCAGCUCAGCUACCAAAUCUGACCUCAGAAGACUACAGAGGGUAGUCCGGUCUGCUGAGCGAAUCAUUGGUACAACCCU
Molecule: long non-coding RNA, 2981 nt
Organism: Megalobrama amblycephala (Wuchang bream)
Lineage: Eukaryota; Metazoa; Chordata; Actinopteri; Cypriniformes; Xenocyprididae
Exons: 3
Source: RefSeq, a predicted model, not a curated record